UAAUAAAGUAAUAAAUUUAAGAAUGCAAGGCGUAGGUUACGCCUUCUACCGCCCUCUGUCGGAAAUCGGCCGGAAGUCAUCGACCGUGAGCUGUCUGAUCCUGGAUCGGCCUUCCUCGCCAUCUAGCGUGGGAUAGCUGCACUCUUGUAUUCCUCUAUGGACUUACGUGGAUCAUAGUUGCCAUUUUGAAAAAUAGAAGUAAAUCGUCAUCGGGCGUUUGCCUUCCUUCCUUUUAUUCGUAACCAGACUUAAUUAUGGGUUUUUUUUUAAGCUCCGCGUUAAUCGCGAAGAGUUUAGUAUUAUAUUUUAUUGUUGACUUAAUUUCCAUUGAACGUCCGGAGCCGGCUGUUUGCGGUGCGAGCCGAUUUAGGCUUGGCAACACUAGUCCCGUCCAAAAUGGCGAAUGAGAUGGGAUUUCUUUUUGCCGGAGAGAGAGAUGAAGGGAUAUCGUUGGCCCAGGCCAAAAUCGGGCGCAAUCGCCCGUUUGACCCCGGAAUCGGACGUGAAUAAAACCAUGUUCUGAUGGUGAUAGGCGACGCCCAGCGUGCCCGGAUGUCGAAAUAGGUGCAAUUUUGCCCUCUGCUGGCCCUUUCUCCAUCAACGGGUUCACGCCGCGUCGCCUAAACCUCGCGCCGGCCGCGAGAGGUUCCCCUGGUAUCCCGGUAACUUGUGGGCAGCAGAUUGCUGCUGUUCUACCUACUUCCGACGUUUCACCCCAAGGCUGCUGACGUGGCAGUUGUGGUGUUUCGAGGUCAGAUCUUUCCACGUUUACUUAUUGACUGAAUGAACCGGCCUUUCGGUCCUGGCGCCCUUCCGUGUAACUACCUUAAUAUAUAUUGACCGCUGUAUCCGUUUCUACCAGUAAUGAUAAUUUAGAGCUCGCUGACCCACGUUUGUUCCCUUAAAAUAUAAACUCAACAUUAUUGUUCUCGUGAGCUAGCCCUCGGCAAACAAUUGUUACCGUGUAUCUAGGUUAACAAAUUAGCAUAAACAAUUUAGAUUUUUUUUCCUGAAUUCAAUAAAUACCGGGUUCCUCUUCAA
Long non-coding RNA from Leguminivora glycinivorella, 1041 nucleotides. RefSeq lists it as uncharacterized. The transcript has 3 exons. The record is from RefSeq and is a predicted model, not a curated record. NCBI's taxonomy places the organism in Eukaryota, Metazoa, Arthropoda, Insecta, Lepidoptera, Tortricidae.